CUCAGUUCGGAUUGAAGGCUGAAAUUCGCCUUCAUGAAGCCGGAAUUGCUAGUAAUGGCAGGUCAGCAUACUGCCGUGAAUACGUUCCCGGGCCUUGUACACACCGCCCGUCACACCAUGAGAGUUGGGAAUACCCGAAGCCUGUGAGCUAACUUUUAGAGGCAGCAGUCGAAGGUAGAAUCAAUGAUUGGGGUGAAGUCGUAACAAGGUAUC
RNAcentral lists this ribosomal RNA (213 nucleotides) under uncultured bacterium. Its description in RNAcentral is "partial 16S ribosomal RNA". It matches the Rfam family "Bacterial small subunit ribosomal RNA", at positions 1287 to 1500 of the family's 1533-position model. The record is from RNAcentral.